RNAcentral lists this ribosomal RNA (952 nucleotides) under Charpentieria pantocratoris margaritifera. Its description in RNAcentral is "partial 16S large subunit ribosomal RNA". Lineage: Eukaryota; Metazoa; Mollusca; Gastropoda; Stylommatophora; Clausiliidae. The record is from RNAcentral.
ACCCUUUGCAUAAUGGUUUUACUAAAAGCAAAAAGUAGAUCACUAUUUCCCGAAACCAGAAGAGCUAAUAUAUAUUAAUCUAUUAGGCAACAUUAUUACUUCUGUAGCAAUAGAAGAAACAUUAAAUAAUAUUAGGAGCGAAACACUAUCAAUUCUGGGGAUAUCUGGAUAACUCUAAAAUACAUGUAGUGUACUAAAAAAUUAUUUGGUGUUAAGAUCAAAUAACGUUAAAUUAAGCUAUAUCUUAAAUACUUUAUUUAAUAAUAUUAAUUAAAGACUUAAAACAAUAAAAUAAAAUUAGAUAAACAAUUACAAUUUAUAGGUGUUAAUUCAUGGCUAAAUAACCUGCUGGAAAAAUAAUGUAAAAAUUAGUAUAUAAAUUAUAAUUACUUAAGGAACUCGACAAAUAUAUCUUUCGACUGUUUAUCAAAAACAUAGCGACAUGUAUAUUAUAUGUGGUUGUACCUGCCCGGUGAAAAUUUUUAACGGCCGCAGUACUCUGACUGUGCAAAGGUAGCAUAAUAAGUUGGCUUUUAAUUGAGGUCUGGAAUAAAUGGGAGAACGAGGGAUUAUUGUCUUAAGUUACUUUUAUAAAAUUUAUUUAUUAAGUGAAAAUACUUAUAAUUAAAUAAAAGACGAGAAGACCCUUAGAAUUUUAAGAAAAUCUACUUAGAGCAGAAAAACUUUUUGUUGGGGCAACAAAAUUUCACACAAAUAAAUAUAUUAUUUAUUUUUAAUAAGCCGAUUUUAUAUUAUUAAAUAAAUUACCUAAGGGAUAACAGCAUAAUCUUUUAUUAGGUUUGUGACCUCGAUGUUGGACUAGGAACUAUAUGUACUAGACGUACAUUUAGUAAGUUCUGUUCGAACUUUGUUACCUACAUGAUCUGAGUUCAGACCGGCGUAAGCCAGGUCAGAUUCUAUCUUUAAUAUAAGCAGGCACUAGUACGAAGGG